This 75-nucleotide non-coding RNA is filed under the name Gammaproteobacteria bacterium. Lineage: Bacteria; Pseudomonadati; Pseudomonadota; Gammaproteobacteria. The record is from RNAcentral.
GCGCGAAACAGGCCGCCGUUGCGGCGGUGGCCUGUCUCCGGGGCGUGGUGGCCCCGGACUGAUGAGCAGCCGACA